Molecule: ribosomal RNA, 465 nt
Filed under: uncultured bacterium
Lineage: Bacteria
Description: partial 16S ribosomal RNA
Rfam family: Bacterial small subunit ribosomal RNA
Source: RNAcentral
GACGAACGCUGGCGGCGUGCUUAACACAUGCAAGUCGAACGGAAAGGCCCUGCUUGCAGGGUACUCGAGUGGCGAACGGGUGAGUAACACGUGGGUGAUCUGCCCUGCACUUCGGGAUAAGCUUGGGAAACUGGGUCUAAUACCGGAUAGGACCGCACUUUAGUGUGUGUGGUGGAAAGUUUUUUCGGUGUAGGAUGAGCUCGCGGCCUAUCAGCUUGUUGGUGGGGUAAUGGCCUACCAAGGCGGCGACGGGUAGCCGGCCUGAGAGGGUGUACGGCCACCUUGGGACUGAGAUAAGGCACAGACUCCUACGGGAGGCCGCAGUGGGGAAUAUUGCCCAAUGGGCGCCAGCCUGAUGAAGCGACGCCGCGUGGGGGAUGAAGGCCUUCGGGUUGUAAACUCCUUUCGCUAGGGACGAAGCUUUUUGUGACGGUACCUAGAUAAGAAGCACCGGCUAACUACGUG